UACGUAGGGGGCUAGCGUUGUCCGGAUUUAUUGGGCGUAAAGAGCGUGUAGGCGGUUAGGUAGGUCCGUUGUGAAAACUCGAGGCUCAACCUCGAGACGCCGAUGGAAACCAUCUAACUAGAGUCCGGAAGAGGAGAAUGGAAUUCCUGGUGUAGCGGUGAAAUGCGCAGAUAUCAGGAAGAACACCCGUGGCUAAGGCGGUUCUCUAGUACGGUACUGACGCUGAGACGCGAAAGCGUGGGGAGCAAACAGG
RNAcentral lists this ribosomal RNA (253 nucleotides) under uncultured bacterium. RNAcentral describes it as "partial 16S ribosomal RNA". It matches the Rfam family "Bacterial small subunit ribosomal RNA", at positions 524 to 776 of the family's 1533-position model. The record is from RNAcentral.